This is a small nucleolar RNA of Elaeis guineensis (African oil palm), 148 nucleotides long. RefSeq annotates it as small nucleolar RNA snoR143. The record is from RefSeq and is a predicted model, not a curated record. Lineage: Eukaryota; Viridiplantae; Streptophyta; Magnoliopsida; Arecales; Arecaceae.
CUGCAUUUGUUGGAUGAUAAGGCUACAUGUAUUUCAAUAGUGAUCUCUUAAGCAACAGUGCAUAAAUGAAAAGCUAUUCAGACAACCGCAGGGAUGGAUCCACAGAUGACUGAUAUUUGAUGCCAUCUACUAAUUCCAUCUCAUAUUC